CCUAAGAGUUACCCGAAGCUCGGCAUCCGCGAUUGUCUAAGGGGCCUCCGAGACGUUCGGGCAGCGUCAGUCUUCAGCCGCCAAGCCGAGGAGAUCUGGGAAGGAGUCGGUGGGGAGCUUUGGGUUUGAGCUCCAGGAGCUCCGGAAGUGGCGAUGAGAGUCGGGCAGUCAGACUUCCAGUGAGGGCCCGCACAGGCGGGGCAUGGCUUAGGAGGAAUCCCAGGCUGCAGGCAUUCCUUGGCCCAGUGGCCAGGUUUUCAUCGCUUGAAGCAAAGUCCCAGAGGGGCUGUUGGAUGUUGCGUUUAGAUGCCUUGAAGUUCUUGCAGGUAGGCAGUGCAGCUGGGGUUUGUCUUAUGGCGGAGGCAAGCAUCUGUAGUUCUGAAAUGCGCUGUCGCCGGGCAGUCUCUUCCCUAUUAUUGAACACCUUGAAGGCGAGGUUGAUUAAUUCCUGUUGUGGGAUCUGAGAGCCAGACUCUAAUUUUUGAAGUUUCUUUCUACUGUCAGAAACUGACUGGGUAAUAAAAUGCAUGUUAAGAAUAAGGCGGCCUUCUAUCCCUUCAGGGUCUAGUGCUGUAUAUCGCCUGAGGGUGGCAGGUAGACAGGCCAUAAACUGAGCUGGAUUUUUAUCUUUGUUCUGAGUGGUUUUUUUUGUUUUUGUUUUUGUUUUUUAGUUUGUCAUAAUUGACGGCUUUAUAUGCAGCCUUCUGAAGCCCUUUAACUAGGCAAGAGAUCAUGUAGUCCCGCCUGGCUAUGCCUGGGUCCCAGGGCCUGGCUUCAAAAUGGUGAGAAGAUAAUGAGAAAAGGAAAGAAUCUAUGGAUAAGAAGUAAAGAAGGCAUUCCAAGAGAAGGAACAACGUGAAAAGAAACAAACUCAUGAAGGCCUGAGGCAUGAGCAUGUGUUGAGCAUUUGGGAAAGAACAAAGUCAUGUUAUAAGACCCUAUAAUGCUUGGCAAAAGAUAGUGGCAAGAAAGCUGGGGAAAAAAAGCUGGGAUGACAUGAUAAAGAAUUUUAUAUUUCAGUCAAAAUAAAUGUCAUUUCAUUGGAGCUUA
This 1050-nucleotide long non-coding RNA is filed under the name Homo sapiens (human). RNAcentral's name for it is "HSALNT0334934". The record is from RNAcentral. Lineage: Eukaryota; Metazoa; Chordata; Mammalia; Primates; Hominidae.